GGACCAUGCAGUGCCGGGCAGCGGAAUUGGCCAGAGGUGACGGCCUGAUGGGUCCCCAUUUUAUCGCAAAUCCCACAGCCUGUCUUGUCGUCAUCUCUUUCUCUUCUGUGCAUUCAAUUCAAUAUAUGCUUUAGUGGCUUUUCUUUCUUUUGACUGUCUCUUUUCUUUAUCAUUUAUGCUCAUAGUUUAUACACGCACACGCACCCCUUCUCCCUUCAUAAUUUCUCUACACUUGGUCCACUUUCUUUAAUCAUUCAUUCAUUUGUGCUUACCCAUAACAACCUCUUCCCUUCCUUUGACAUCUUCUUCAUGGAAACAGAUUCAACACCAAUGGAUGAUUCACUGCCGUCGCCAGGAGAGCCAAGGCGGGAAGAUCAGCACCGGACACCAUCACCAUCAACUCUUCUUCCUAAAACACAGCCUAACGGUUUCUAUGGGAAGCAUCGACUGGCAGCUGCAAUCUCUAAUCUCCAAAACCAAAUCAAUUAUCUCCAGGAGGAGCUUGACCAACUUGAGGAGAUAGGUGAAGCCUCCAUCGUUUGUAAAGAGUGAGUAAUGUAGAGCAAUGAAGCCUCGUCUCGUCUCCAUGUUUUUGUUAAUUUUCCUUGUGGAAUUCUGAUAUGAUAUGACCUGCAGGCUCAUUUCAAGUGUUGAAUCCAUUCCGGAUCCAUUGCUUCCACUGUAAGUGUAGUUAUGUUAUCAAUACGCUUUCUUUUAUGGUUACAGGUGAGGUUUUUGAUGGAUGGUGUUGGAUUUUGUAGGAGCAAAGGACCCACCAAUAUUAACUGGGAUCGGUGGUUCAAGGGAGCUCAGAACUCACGAAAACGCUGGAUCUAACAAGCUCCAAUCCAAGAAACUUUCUUUCAGAUACAACUUCCGGGACAUUGUUAUUAACAAUUAUUGUCAAUCCAAUUCCUGCAACGUAUUUAUGGAAAUAACAAGUACAGCAGCUCCCCAACUUUUUGCAAAAUUCCAUGCCCUUUUUGCUCAGAAUUGCAGGUGCUACUUGCUCGCUAUUGCUGUACCUUACUGCUCUGUAGUUAGUUCUGACUUCACGAAAAAAAAAAAAAUUUUUGCAAUAAGAUCAAAUUUCAAAAUUGUUGGCUUGCGGCCGCGUUAUUUGAGUUUCAAUUCCAAUCUUCUGUUCAUCCACAAAGAAAAGAAAUUUCCGGUCAGACCAUCUUGCAAUUGCAAGGAAAUAAUGAAUAAUUUGUCCUUUUCACUUAGUCAUCUCAAUAUAAUUGGUCAUAUCAAUAAAACUGGUCUUCAGAGGUUAUAUCAAACACAUUAAUUCGUUUUAAUCAAAAGUAAUUCAGUUAAAAUAGGCUGAAUUCGCCAUGGGUUAGGUAACACAUUCUCCAAUCCAGAAAGAACCAUGGACAACGCAGAGCCUGGGGCAAGAAGCUGUAGUGCACAAUAUCAAGUGGAGAGAAAAUCGUAAGUUUAACUGUAAAACAUUACCAAAUAGCAAAGCAUUUAGCACUUCAUACGUUGAUCAUCCAUUAGUUCACUUGGCCCCGAUUCAAAUGCGAAGUACA
RNAcentral lists this unclassified non-coding RNA (1538 nucleotides) under Hevea brasiliensis (rubber tree). Lineage: Eukaryota; Viridiplantae; Streptophyta; Magnoliopsida; Malpighiales; Euphorbiaceae. The record is from RNAcentral.